GCAGGGUGAGAUAAUUACCAGCAAUUCGCAUUGAAAAACACCACUGUCAGUUACUCAGUUGUCAUUGGUGCUUUCAACAUAUAUAAUGAGUAUUAUAAAGAACUUAUAUAGUAUGAAGCACUUAGAAAAAUCAGCUAUAUGCGUUAAUCGGUGCAGAAGCUGAGAUAUUUUAAUAUAUUUCCUUUUCUAAAAAAAUGAAGCACUUAAAAGUCUGCCCAUCUAAGGCUUAGCACCAUUCAAAAACGGACUGGUAUUCUGAUGUGGUAAGCCCGAGCGAGCAUAACACCAAUCUUGGACGCAUUGACGUGCUUCAGCAUAUCAGACAAGACACAAGCUGCAUAACAGUUCGCUUUCUAUCAACAUGCCCAGUUGUUGAUGAUAGAAACCAUGCAGCUAGUUGAGAGAGACACGUUGCUAUGACCAUUAUUCUCCAUGUUCGGAUUAACCUCCUGAUUCCUCUCACUUCUAGUUUAGUGUAUGAUUCCUUGGCAC
This 492-nucleotide long non-coding RNA is filed under the name Sorghum bicolor (sorghum). Its description in RNAcentral is "long non-coding RNA (SBIC_LNC014772)". The record is from RNAcentral. Lineage: Eukaryota; Viridiplantae; Streptophyta; Magnoliopsida; Poales; Poaceae.